GACGAACGCUGGCGGCGUGCUUAACACAUGCAAGUCGAACGGAAAGGCCCUGCUUUUGUGGGGUGCUCGAGUGGCGAACGGGUGAGUAACACGUGAGUAACCUGCCCUUGACUUUGGGAUAACUUCAGGAAACUGGGGCUAAUACCGGAUAGGAGCUCCUGCUGCAUGGUGGGGGUUGGAAAGUUUCGGCGGUUGGGAUUGACUCGCGGCUUAUCAGCUUGUUGGUGGGGUAGUGGCUUACCAAGGCUUUGACGGGUAGCCGGCCUGAGAGGGUGACCGGCCACAUUGGGACUGAGAUACGGCCCAGACUCCUACGGGAGGCAGCAGUGGGGAAUAUUGCACAAUGGGCGGAAGCCUGAUGCAGCAACGCCGCGUGCGGGAUGACGGCCUUCGGGUUGUAAACCGCUUUCGCCUGUGACGAAGCGUGAGUGACGGUAAUGGGUAAAGAAGCACCGGCUAACUACGUG
This 467-nucleotide ribosomal RNA is filed under the name uncultured bacterium. RNAcentral describes it as "partial 16S ribosomal RNA". It matches the Rfam family "Bacterial small subunit ribosomal RNA", at positions 28 to 507 of the family's 1533-position model. The record is from RNAcentral.